This 199-nucleotide ribosomal RNA is filed under the name uncultured bacterium. RNAcentral's name for it is "partial 16S ribosomal RNA". It matches the Rfam family "Bacterial small subunit ribosomal RNA", at positions 328 to 539 of the family's 1533-position model. The record is from RNAcentral.
ACGCUCGACACCUACGGGAGGCAGCAGUUGGGAAUAUUGGACAAUGGAGGAAACUCUGAUCCAGUGACGCCGCGUGAAGGAAGAAGGUCUUCGGAUUGUAAACUUAUUUUGUCAGGGAAGAAAAAUGACUGUACCUGAAGAAAAAGCACCGGCUAACUACGUGCUAGCAGCCGCGGUAAUCUGAGCGGGCUGGCAAGGC